Molecule: transfer RNA, 69 nt
Filed under: Ictidomys tridecemlineatus (thirteen-lined ground squirrel)
Lineage: Eukaryota; Metazoa; Chordata; Mammalia; Rodentia; Sciuridae
Description: Spermophilus tridecemlineatus (thirteen-lined ground squirrel) tRNA
Rfam family: tRNA
About the family: Transfer RNA (tRNA) molecules are approximately 80 nucleotides in length.
Source: Rfam by way of RNAcentral
GGGAUUGUGGCUCAGCGGUAGAGUGCUUGUCUACCACAUACAAGACCCUGGGUUCAAUCCUCAGCACCA